GACAGAGGAUGCAAGCGUUAUCCGGAAUGAUUGGGCGUAAAGCGUCUGUAGGUGGCUUUUUAAGUCCGCCGUCAAAUCCCAGGGCUCAACCCUGGACAGGCGGUGGAAACUGUCAAGCUUGAGUCCGGAAGAGGCGAGUGGAAUUCCUGGUGUAGCGGUGAAAUGCGCAGAUAUCAGGAGGAACACCAAUGGCGAAGGCAGCUCGCUGGGACGGUACUGACGCUGAGACGCGAAAGCGUGGGGAGCAAACAGG
This 253-nucleotide ribosomal RNA is filed under the name uncultured bacterium. RNAcentral describes it as "partial 16S ribosomal RNA". It matches the Rfam family "Bacterial small subunit ribosomal RNA", at positions 524 to 776 of the family's 1533-position model. The record is from RNAcentral.